This is a long non-coding RNA of Lemur catta (Ring-tailed lemur), 679 nucleotides long. RefSeq lists it as uncharacterized. NCBI's taxonomy places the organism in Eukaryota, Metazoa, Chordata, Mammalia, Primates, Lemuridae. The transcript has 5 exons. The record is from RefSeq and is a predicted model, not a curated record.
GGGGCGCGCACCCCGCCCGCUCCCGGAACUGUCAUGAGUGUUGACAGCUGGCACACACUUCUGUCGCCCUCCACCCGCUUGCAGAAAGCCCCUUCCUCCGAGUCACCUUGACGUAGCUCACCUGCCUAGGCCUCGGUUCUUGGCCAAGGAAACUUUUUUCCUCCCUUCCCAGGAGCUCACUUACAGGUCAGCUUUAAAUGUACUGUCUUCCUGAACCUGCCUUGUCCCAAAGGACCCACUUCAGUAUGGGGAGGCUUUAAGGUUUUGGAUGUGUCCAGUUUCAUAUAAGGCAGAGGUCCCCAACCUAUGAGUCUUCUGUUGAAGUUUAUUUCCCUGAAGAACUGAAACCAACGGUCUUUAAUGAGUGUGUGUGUCUAGAGCUAACGGGAGCCGACAGUGCUGAAAUGAGCCCACUGGAGUCAACAUCAUCUCUCCAGUGUUAAUGUUACCUGCUGAUCACUGGCUCUGGGAGAAGCCAGCUGCUACACUGUGAGGAAAUUCAAGCUACUAAAGGAGAGACCCACAUGGCUGCAAUGCAGAGACAUGAUGGCUGAGGUUGAAGCUUUAUCCUGGGAGCAACCACCUGUUGGAAACUUCAUGUUAAAGGUGGCUGAAUAACAGGAUAGAAGCAGCCUGGGUCCCUGGUGGAUACACCAGAUCUGGAUUGUUCGUGGUGAUA